GUAGUUAGCCGGGGCUUCCUCCUUGGCUACCGUCACUUUCUUCGUCACCAAGGACAGAGGUUUACAAUCCGAAGACCUUCUUCCCUCACGCGGCGUUGCUGGGUCAGGCUUGCGCCCAUUGCCCAAUAUUCCCCACUGCUGCCUCCCGUAGGAGUCUGGACCGUGUCUCAGUUCCAGUGUGGCCGAUCAGCCUCUCAGCUCGGCUACCCAUCGUUGGCUAGGUGGGCCGUUACCCCGCCUACUACCUAAUGGGACGCGAACCCCUCCUUCUGCGGAUUGCUCCUUUGACCCCUGAGCCAUGCGACUCUGUGGUCUUAUGCGGUAUUAGCACUUGUUUCCAGGUGUUAUCCCCCUCAAAAGGGCAGGUUGUUCACGCGUUACUCACCCGUUCGCCACUAGCUAUAAAUCCGAAAACCUAUAGCCCGUUCGACUUGCAUGUGUUAGGCACGCCGCCAGCGUUCGUCCUGAGCCAGAAUCGAACCCUGA
This 486-nucleotide ribosomal RNA is filed under the name uncultured bacterium. RNAcentral describes it as "partial 16S ribosomal RNA". The record is from RNAcentral.